GGGCGAUUAGCUCAGUUGGUUAGAGCAUCUGCUUUACAAGCAGGGGGUCUCAGGUUCAAAUCCUGAAUCGCCCA
This 74-nucleotide transfer RNA is filed under the name Candidatus Omnitrophota bacterium. Its description in RNAcentral is "tRNA-Val". It matches the Rfam family "tRNA". From Rfam's summary of the family: Transfer RNA (tRNA) molecules are approximately 80 nucleotides in length. Their secondary structure includes four short double-helical elements and three loops (D, anti-codon, and T loops). The record is from RNAcentral. Lineage: Bacteria; Pseudomonadati; Candidatus Omnitrophota.